AGUGAACGCUGGCGGUAGGCCUAACACAUGCAAGUCGAACGGCAGCACAGUAAGAGCUUGCUCUUACGGGUGGCGAGUGGCGGACGGGUGAGGAAUACAUCGGAAUCUACUUUUUCGUGGGGGAUAACGUAGGGAAACUUACGCUAAUACCGCAUACGACCUACGGGUGAAAGCAGGGGAUCUUCGGACCUUGCGCGAUUGAAUGAGCCGAUGUCGGAUUAGCUAGUUGGCGGGGUAAAGGCCCACCAAGGCGACGAUCCGUAGCUGGUCUGAGAGGAUGAUCAGCCAAACGGGAACUGAGACACGGUCCAGACUCCUACGGGAGGCAGCAGUGGGGAAUAUUGGAAAAUGGGCGCAAGCCUGAUCCAGCCAUACCGCGUGGGUGAAGAAGGCCUUCGGGUUGUAAAGCCCUUUUGUUGGGAAAGAAAAGCAGCAGGUUAAUACCCCGCUGUUCUGACGGUACCAAAAGAAUAAGCACCGGCUAACUUCGU
Molecule: ribosomal RNA, 491 nt
Filed under: uncultured bacterium
Lineage: Bacteria
Description: partial 16S ribosomal RNA
Rfam family: Bacterial small subunit ribosomal RNA
Source: RNAcentral